AUGUCCAUUAUACCACUCUGCAUGCCUUUGC
Molecule: non-coding RNA, 31 nt
Filed under: Homo sapiens (human)
Lineage: Eukaryota; Metazoa; Chordata; Mammalia; Primates; Hominidae
Source: RNAcentral